Hemiscyllium ocellatum (epaulette shark) is the source of this 79-nucleotide non-coding RNA. Lineage: Eukaryota; Metazoa; Chordata; Chondrichthyes; Orectolobiformes; Hemiscylliidae. The record is from the annotation of a RefSeq genome assembly.
GGUAGUGUGGCCGAGCGGUCUAAGGCGCUGGAUCCAGGUUCCAGUCCUGAAAGCGUGGGUUCGAAUCCCACCACUGCCA